Molecule: long non-coding RNA, 909 nt
Organism: Trichoplusia ni (cabbage looper)
Lineage: Eukaryota; Metazoa; Arthropoda; Insecta; Lepidoptera; Noctuidae
Exons: 2
Source: RefSeq, a predicted model, not a curated record
UUGAUGUUAUUAUAAUUAUUGUCUUUAGUUUUUAUAUAAAUUAAAUUCUGUAUAUGAGAACUAACAAAUUCAGACCUUAAUGAAUUUCAGGACUGACCAUUGAACUCGGCAUACAUUUAGUUGGCAUACACUGUCAUGAUGAGAUUUAAAAUAAGGCUGCAAAUGAACACCAAACACUUCUUAAAUACCAAAAUUUUACUGGACUACUAAUAUUAUAAAGAGAUGCAAUGGAAUAAGGACAAAAAAAAUCGGUUUAUGCAGUCUGAAGUUAAGAAGCUAAAUAUAAAAAAAAAACAAAAUACAGACAAAUUGAGAAUCUCCUCCUUUUUACGAUUGGUUCAAAAACAGGUUUGAAACAAAAAAAAACAUCAAAAUAUUUUACACUUGUUUAAAUAUUUAUUUAUUAAUUAUAUUCAAGUAUAACUUAUGCUCCUUUUUAAGUUCCAAACCCAAGCAAGACUAUAGUAUGAUUUUUAAUUCCAGUGUGGCAGGUUUUUUGUGUUAGAUGUGUUAGAAUCGACUUUUUACAGUCAUAAGUUGGUGGAGAUUACAUUUAUAUAUUAAGUAUUAAAUUACAUUUAUAUACAAAUUACUAUGCUGUUGGCGACUGAAUACGGUGUUACAGUCUGUGCUCCCUUAUCAGUGUGAGCUCAACCCCAUAGAGUUAGUUUAGGCUCAAGCAAAGGGGUACAUUACCAGGAAAAAUAAAUGUUUUAAAUACAAGAAGUAAAAAGUUAUUUGCCUUCUUGCCUGAGCGAAGUGAUGCCUAGAAAUUGGAGACAGUGCAUCAACCAUGCCAUAAAAGUCAAAGACAAAAUGUGCCACUUAAUAGAUGAAUGUGUGGAUUGACUUGUUCUAAAUUUAACUGAUUAUUAUAGCAACCGUAAUUAAUAAAAACAUAUAAAAUUA